This 502-nucleotide ribosomal RNA is filed under the name uncultured bacterium. RNAcentral's name for it is "bacterial SSU rRNA". It matches the Rfam family "Bacterial small subunit ribosomal RNA", at positions 28 to 531 of the family's 1533-position model. The record is from RNAcentral.
GAUGAACGCUAGCUGGAGGCUUAAUACAUGCAAGUCGAGCGGGAUUGGGUAGCAAUACCCAUGAGAGCGGCGCACGGGUGAGUAACGCGUACACGACCUACCUCUGACAGGGGGAUAGCCCUGGGAAACUGGGAUUAAUACCGCAUAUUAUUCUGAAUAAUAAAGGUUUGGAAUGAAAGCUGAGGCGGUCAGAGAUGGGUGUGCGUCUGAUUAGCUAGUUGGUAGGGUAACGGCCUACCAAGGCGAUGAUCAGUAGGGGGCGUGAGAGCGUGGUCCCCCACACGGGUACUGAGACACGGACCCGACUCCUACGGGAGGCAGCAGUAAGGAAUAUUGGUCAAUGGGCGAAAGCCUGAUCCAGCCAUCCCGCGUGCAGGAUGAAUGCCCUAUGGGUUGUAAACUGCUUUUGGAAGGGAAGAAACGCCUGGAUUUAUCCGGGCCUGACGGUACCUUCAGAAUAGCACCGGCUAACUCCGUGCCAGCAGCCGCGGUAAAGUCGAUA